GGCUCGUUCGUUUAGCGGGAGAACGCUGGCCCUUCAAGCCGGAGAGAGGAGUUCGACUCUCCUACGAGCUA
Molecule: transfer RNA, 71 nt
Filed under: Planctomycetaceae bacterium
Lineage: Bacteria; Pseudomonadati; Planctomycetota; Planctomycetia; Planctomycetales; Planctomycetaceae
Description: tRNA-Glu
Rfam family: tRNA
About the family: Transfer RNA (tRNA) molecules are approximately 80 nucleotides in length. Their secondary structure includes four short double-helical elements and three loops (D, anti-codon, and T loops).
Source: RNAcentral